RNAcentral lists this ribosomal RNA (254 nucleotides) under uncultured bacterium. RNAcentral describes it as "partial 16S ribosomal RNA". It matches the Rfam family "Bacterial small subunit ribosomal RNA", at positions 524 to 776 of the family's 1533-position model. The record is from RNAcentral.
UACGUAGGGUGCAAGCGUUAAUCGGAAUUACUGGGCGUAAAGCGUGCGCAGGCGGUGAUGUAAGACAGUUGUGAAAUCCCCCGGGCUCAACCUGGGAACUGCAUCUGUGACUGCAUCGCUGGAGUACGGUAGAGGGGGAUGGAAUUCCGCGUGUAGCAGUGAAAUGCGUAGAUAUGCGGAGGAACACCGAUGGCGAAGGCAAUCCCCUGGACCUGUACUGACGCUCAUGCACGAAAGCGUGGGGAGCAAACAGG